Molecule: ribosomal RNA, 623 nt
Filed under: uncultured Bacillus sp.
Lineage: Bacteria; Bacillati; Bacillota; Bacilli; Caryophanales; Bacillaceae
Description: bacterial SSU rRNA
Rfam family: Bacterial small subunit ribosomal RNA
Source: RNAcentral
CUGGCGGCGUGCCUAAUACAUGCAAGUCGAGCGAACUUUUGGGAGCUUGCUCCCAAAAGUUAGCGGCGGACGGGUGAGUAACACGUGGGCAACCUGCCUGUAAGACUGGGAUAACUUCGGGAAACCGGAGCUAAUACCGGAUAACAUAUGAGACCACAUGGUCUCGUAUUAAAAGAUGGCUUCUCGCUAUCACUUACAGAUGGGCCCGCGGCGCAUUAGCUAGUUGGUGAGGUAACGGCUCACCAAGGCAACGAUGCGUAGCCGACCUGAGAGGGUGAUCGGCCACACUGGGACUGAGACACGGCCCAGACUCCUACGGGAGGCAGCAGUAGGGAAUCUUCCGCAAUGGACGAAAGUCUGACGGAGCAACGCCGCGUGAGCGAAGAAGGUCUUCGGAUCGUAAAGCUCUGUUGUUAGGGAAGAACAAGUAUCGUUCGAAUAGGGCGGUACCUUGACGGUACCUAACCAGAAAGCCACGGCUAACUACGUGCCAGCAGCCGCGGUAAUACGUAGGUGGCAAGCGUUAUCCGGAAUUAUUGGGCGUAAAGCGCGCGCAGGCGGUCCUUUAAGUCUGAUGUGAAAGCCCACGGCUCAACCGUGGAGGGUCAUUGGAAACUGGGGGA